RNAcentral lists this non-coding RNA (148 nucleotides) under Pan paniscus (pygmy chimpanzee). The record is from Rfam by way of RNAcentral. RNAcentral also lists the same sequence under 1 other name. Lineage: Eukaryota; Metazoa; Chordata; Mammalia; Primates; Hominidae.
GCCGGGCGUGGUGGUGCGUGCCUGUAAUCCCAGCUACUAGGGAGGCUGAGGCAGGAGAAUUGCUUGAACCCAGGAGGUGGAGGUUGCAGUGAGCCGAGAUUGUGCCACUGCACUCCAGCCUGGGCAACAGAGCAAGACUCCACCUCCA